RNAcentral lists this non-coding RNA (73 nucleotides) under Pelodictyon luteolum DSM 273. RNAcentral describes it as "Chlorobi-RRM RNA". It matches the Rfam family "Chlorobi-RRM RNA". Lineage: Bacteria; Pseudomonadati; Chlorobiota; Chlorobiia; Chlorobiales; Chlorobiaceae. The record is from RNAcentral.
AAAUCAGCCAAUGGUUGGCUGAUCGCGCUAUCAAGUAAUUGGUGCUUUGGUUACUUGCCUGCUCUCUUUUUAU